GCUGGGCACGGUGGUGCAUGCCUGUAAUCCCAGCAGCUUGGGAGGCUGAGACUGGAGGAUUGCAAAUUCAAAGCCAGCCUCAGCAACAGGGAGGCACUCAGCAUCUCAGAGAGACCCUGUCUCUA
RNAcentral lists this small RNA (125 nucleotides) under Marmota monax (woodchuck). The record is from RNAcentral. Lineage: Eukaryota; Metazoa; Chordata; Mammalia; Rodentia; Sciuridae.